GACGAACGCUGGCGGCGUGCUUAACACAUGCAAGUCGAACGGAAAGGCCCUGCUUUUGUGGGGUGCUCGAGUGGCGAACGGGUGAGUAACACGUGAGUAACCUGCCCUUGACUUUGGGAUAACUUCAGGAAACUGGGGCUAAUACCGUAUAGGAGCUCCUGCUGCAUGGUGGGGGUUGGAAAUUUUCGGCGGUUGGGGAUGGACUCGCGGCUUAUCAGCUUGUUGGUGGGGUAGUGGCUUACCAAGGCUUGGACGGGUAGCCGGCCUGAGAGGGUGACCGGCCACAUUGGGACUGAGAGACGGCACAGACGCCGAAGGGAGGCAGAAGUGGGGAAUAUUGAACAAUGGGCGGAAGCCUGAUGAAGAAACGCCGCGUGCGGGAUGACGGCCUUGGGGUUGUAAACCGCUAUCGCCUGUGACGAAGCGUGAGUGACGGUAAUGGGUAAAGAAGCAACGGCUAAAUACGGG
Molecule: ribosomal RNA, 468 nt
Filed under: uncultured bacterium
Lineage: Bacteria
Description: partial 16S ribosomal RNA
Rfam family: Bacterial small subunit ribosomal RNA
Source: RNAcentral